AUGCAGUCGAACGGACUUACAUUGAAGCCUAGCGAUAUGUAAGUUAGUGGCGGACGGGUGAGUAACGCGUGGGUAACCUGCCUUGUACUGGGGGACAACAGUUGGAAACGACUGCUAAUACCGCAUAAGCGCACAGCUUCGCAUGAAGCAGUGUGAAAAACUCCGGUGGUACAAGAUGGACCCGCGUCUGAUUAGCUGGUUGGUGAGGUAACGGCCCACCAAGGCGACGAUCAGUAGCCGGCCUGAGAGGGUGAACGGCCACAUUGGGACUGAGACACGGCCCAAACUCCUACGGGAGGCAGCAGUGGGGAAUAUUGCACAAUGGGGGAAACCCUGAUGCAGCAACGCCGCGUGAGUGAAGAAGUAUUUCGGUAUGUAAAGCUCUAUCAGCAGGAAAGAAAAUGACGGUACCUGACUAAGAAGCCCCGGCUAACUACGUGCCAGCAGCCGCGGUAAUACGUAGGGGGCAAGCGUUAUCCGGAUUUACUGGGUGUAAAGGGAGCGUAGACGGUUUUGCAAGUCUGAAGUGAAAGCCCGGGGCUUAACCCCGGGACUGCUUUGGAAACUGUAGGACUAGAGUGCAGGAGAGGUAAGUGGAAUUCCUGGUGUAGCGGUGAAAUGCGUAGAUAUUAGGAGGAACACCAGUGGCGAAGGCGGCUUACUGGACUGUAACUGACGUUGAGGCUCGAAAGCGCGGGGAGCAAACAGGAUUAGAUACCCUGGUAGUCCACGCCGUAAACGAUGAUUACUAGGUGUUGGUGGGUAUGACCCAUCGGUGCCGCAGCAAACGCAAUAAGUAAUCCACCUGGGGAGUACGUUCGCAAGAAUGAAACUCAAAGGAAUUGACGGGGACCCGCACAAGCGGUGGAGCAUGUGGUUUAAUUCG
RNAcentral lists this ribosomal RNA (886 nucleotides) under uncultured bacterium. RNAcentral's name for it is "bacterial SSU rRNA". It matches the Rfam family "Bacterial small subunit ribosomal RNA", at positions 55 to 953 of the family's 1533-position model. The record is from RNAcentral.